RNAcentral lists this long non-coding RNA (451 nucleotides) under Mytilus galloprovincialis (Mediterranean mussel). Lineage: Eukaryota; Metazoa; Mollusca; Bivalvia; Mytilida; Mytilidae. The record is from RNAcentral.
GGGACGUUUAUUUCGGAUUCUGCACUUGAUUGAUUACUUGUCUGAUAUCAACACUUGAUAGAUUGAUCGAUCGAUCGAUCUCUAAUCAUGAUUUAAUCAAUGUGAUCAUGAUUUGAUCACUCUGAUCAUGAUUUGGUUGAUUGAUCAAUACUUUCUAUAGCCGAAAAUGACAUAUUUUGCAUGGUUUUUUUCUUCAUUGUCUAUAUGUUUCGUGCUGUUCAGUGACAAAUAUCUCACGCACAAUUUUACAUGUAGUAUUGAGAACAACUCUUACAUCCGAAAAAAAAAUGAAUUGCGACUGAGUUAUUCUAACACUAGAUUUGCUAUUGCUAGCAAUAGCUGAGGAUGGCACCCCGUACUGCACAUUGUCACAGUAGCAUCAACACUUAUGAGUGUACAAAAGUCAAAUGACAUUUCUAUUAUACAUGACAGAAUCAGCAUUUCUUCACAC